Molecule: ribosomal RNA, 248 nt
Filed under: uncultured bacterium
Lineage: Bacteria
Description: partial 16S ribosomal RNA
Rfam family: Bacterial small subunit ribosomal RNA
Source: RNAcentral
AAGGCAGCUACCUGGCGACAGGAUGCUAAUCCCAAAAACCUCUCUCAGUUCGGAUCGAAGUCUGCAACCCGACUUCGUGAAGCUGGAUUCGCUAGUAAUCGCGCAUCAGCCAUGGCGCGGUGAAUACGUUCCCGGGCCUUGUACACACCGCCCGUCAAGCCAUGAAAGCCGGGGUACCUGAAGUACGUAACCGCAAGGAGCGUCCUAGGGUAAAACUGGUAAUUGGGGCUAAGUCGUAACAAGGUAAC